Molecule: ribosomal RNA, 301 nt
Filed under: uncultured bacterium
Lineage: Bacteria
Description: partial 16S ribosomal RNA
Rfam family: Bacterial small subunit ribosomal RNA
Source: RNAcentral
CAGUCGCCACGGGAAUACGAGGGGGGCAAGCGUUGUUCGGAAUUAUUGGGCGUAAAGGGUGCGUAGGCGGUUCAGCAAGUCUCGUGUGAAAUCUUCGGGCUCAACCCGAAGUCUGCACGGGAAACUACUGGGCUUGAGUAAUGGAGAGGUGAGUGGAAUUUCCGGUGUAGCGGUGAAAUGCGUAGAUAUCGGAAGGAACACCUGUGGCGAAAGCGGCUCACUGGACAUUUACUGACGCUGAUGCACGAAAGCUAGGGGAGCAAACAGGAUUAGAUACCCCCGUAGUCCCUGUCUCUUAUAC